This 554-nucleotide ribosomal RNA is filed under the name uncultured bacterium. RNAcentral's name for it is "partial 16S ribosomal RNA". It matches the Rfam family "Bacterial small subunit ribosomal RNA", at positions 355 to 900 of the family's 1533-position model. The record is from RNAcentral.
UAGGGAAUCUCCACAAUGGACGCAUGUCUGAUGGAGCAACGCCGCGUGAGUGAAGAAGGUUUUCGGACCGUAAAGCUCUGUUGUUGGUGAAGAAGGAUAGAGGUAGUAACUGGCCUUUAUUUGACGGUAAUCAACCAGAAAGUCACGGCUAACUACGUGCCAGCAGCCGCGGUAAUACGUAGGUGGCAAGCGUUGUCCGGAUUUAUUGGGCGUAAAGCGAGCGCAGGCGGAAGAAUAAGUCUGAUGUGAAAGCCCUCGGCUUAACCGAGGAAUUGCAUCGGAAACUGUUUUUCUUGAGUGCAGAAGAGGAGAGUAGAACUCCAUGUGUAGCGGUGGAAUGCGUAGAUAUAUGGAAGAACACCAGUGGCGAAGGCGGCUCUCUGGUCUGCAACUGACGCUGAGGCUCGAAAGCAUGGGUAGCGAACAGGAUUAGAUACCCUGGUAGUCCAUGCCGUAAACGAUGAGUGCUAAGUGUUGGGAGGCUUCCGCCUCUCAGUGCUGCAGCUAACGCAUUAAGCACUCCGCCUGGGGGAGUACGACCGCAAGGUUGAAAC